AGCAAGUGUAGCUUGUGUUAUGUGGUUCUGUAAUUCAUCACCGGGUUUUCACACUUGCCAA
RNAcentral lists this microRNA precursor (61 nucleotides) under Brachionus plicatilis. Its description in RNAcentral is "Bpl-Mir-36-P18_pre stem-loop". Lineage: Eukaryota; Metazoa; Rotifera; Eurotatoria; Ploima; Brachionidae. The record is from RNAcentral.